Molecule: long non-coding RNA, 215 nt
Filed under: Theobroma cacao (cacao)
Lineage: Eukaryota; Viridiplantae; Streptophyta; Magnoliopsida; Malvales; Malvaceae
Description: long non-coding RNA (TCAC_LNC000300)
Source: RNAcentral
CCCAUCAUAAUAUAGUUCAUAACAUUCAAAACUCAUUUCAAUUCCUAUAAAAGAAUUACAUUUCAUCAAAAUAAUGAACAAGGCUUAUGAUUCUCUUAAAAACUUGGCUUGUGCCAAAACUCAUACUCGGUGACACCUUGGCCCGGGCAUCCAACCGAGUCCGCCAAGGAUGUUAAAACGACAUAUGCCCAUAGAACAUGUUUUUAGUUUUAAAA